UACGGGGGGGGCAAGCGUUGUUCGGAAUUACUGGGCGUAAAGGGCUCGUAGGCGGCCAACUAAGUCAGACGUGAAAUCCCUCGGCUUAACCGGGGAACUGCGUCUGAUACUGGAUGGCUUGAGUGUAGGAGAGGGAUGCGGAAUUCCAGGUGUAGCGGUGAAAUGCGUAGAUAUCAGGAGGAACACCGGUGGCGAAGGCGGCUACCUGGACAGAAACUGACGCUGAGGCGCGAAAGCUAGGGGAGCAAACAGG
RNAcentral lists this ribosomal RNA (253 nucleotides) under uncultured bacterium. RNAcentral describes it as "partial 16S ribosomal RNA". It matches the Rfam family "Bacterial small subunit ribosomal RNA", at positions 524 to 776 of the family's 1533-position model. The record is from RNAcentral.